RNAcentral lists this transfer RNA (56 nucleotides) under Candidatus Kaiserbacteria bacterium CG_4_8_14_3_um_filter_50_23. Its description in RNAcentral is "tRNA-Asn". It matches the Rfam family "tRNA", at positions 8 to 62 of the family's 71-position model. From Rfam's summary of the family: Transfer RNA (tRNA) molecules are approximately 80 nucleotides in length. Their secondary structure includes four short double-helical elements and three loops (D, anti-codon, and T loops). Further hydrogen bonds mediate the characteristic L-shaped molecular structure. tRNAs have two regions of fundamental functional importance: the anti-codon, which is responsible for specific mRNA codon recognition, and the 3' end, to which the tRNAs corresponding amino acid is attached (by aminoacyl-tRNA synthetases). tRNAs cope with the degeneracy of the genetic code in two manners: having more than one tRNA (with a specific anti-codon) for a particular amino acid; and 'wobble' base-pairing, i.e. permitting non-standard base-pairing at the 3rd anti-codon position. Lineage: Bacteria; Candidatus Kaiseribacteriota. The record is from RNAcentral.
UAGCUCAAUGGUAGAGCAGCGCCCUGUUAAGGCGUUGGUUGCAGGUUCGAGUCCUG